CCUACGGGAGGCUGCAGUGAGGAAUAUUGGUCAAUGGGCGGAAGCCUGAACCAGCCAAGUAGCGUGCAGGAUGAAGGCCCUACGGGUUGUAAACCUCUUUUAUACGGGAAUAACGGGCGUUACGUGUAGGGGUUUGCAUGUACCGUAUGAAUAAGGACCGGCUAAUUCCGUGCCAGCAGCCGCGGUAAUACGGAAGGUUCGGGCGUUAUCCGGAUUUAUUGGGUUUAAAGGGCGCGUAGGCCGCCUGUCAAGUCUGCUGUGAAAUGUCCGGGCUCAACCCGGGCCUUGCAGUUCGACCUGGCGGGCUUGAGUCGGCGGAAAGCAGGCGGAAUGCGUGGUGUAGCGGUGAAAUGCUUAGAUAUGACGAAGAACCCCGAUUGCGAAGGCAGCUUGCUGCAGCGGAACUGACGCUGAGGCUCGAAAGCGUGGGUAUCGAACAGGAUUAGAUACCCGAGUAGUC
Molecule: ribosomal RNA, 460 nt
Filed under: uncultured bacterium
Lineage: Bacteria
Description: partial 16S ribosomal RNA
Rfam family: Bacterial small subunit ribosomal RNA
Source: RNAcentral